GAUGAACGCUAGCGGCAGGCCUAAUACAUGCAAGUCGAGGGGUAUGGGUUGCUUGCAACCCAGAGACCGGCGCACGGGUGCGUAACGCGUAUGCAAUCUACCUUAAUCAGGGGGAUAGCCCGGAGAAAUCCGGAUUAACACCGCAUAACAUUGAGUUGUGGCAUCACAGUUCAAUCAAAUAUUUAUAGGAUUAAGAUGAGCAUGCGUGACAUUAGUUAGUUGGUGAGGUAACGGCUAACCAAGACCACGAUGUCUAGGGGAUCUGAGAGGAUGACCCCCCACACUGGUACUGAGACACGGACCAGACUCCUACGGGAGGCAGCAGUAAGGAAUAUUAGUCAAUGGGCGCAAGCCUGAACCAGCCAUGCCGCGUGCAGGAAGACGGCCCUAUGGGUUGUAAACUGCUUUUGUACCGGAAUAAACCUUCUCUUGCGAGAGAAGCUGAACGUACGGUAAGAAUAAGGAUCGGCUAACUCCGUG
This 480-nucleotide ribosomal RNA is filed under the name uncultured bacterium. Its description in RNAcentral is "partial 16S ribosomal RNA". It matches the Rfam family "Bacterial small subunit ribosomal RNA", at positions 28 to 507 of the family's 1533-position model. The record is from RNAcentral.